This 429-nucleotide ribosomal RNA is filed under the name bacterium. Its description in RNAcentral is "partial 16S ribosomal RNA". It matches the Rfam family "Bacterial small subunit ribosomal RNA", at positions 355 to 776 of the family's 1533-position model. The record is from RNAcentral.
UAGGGAAUCUUCGGCAAUGGGGGCAACCCUGACCGAGCAACGCCGCGUGAGUGAAGAAGGUUUUCGGAUCGUAAAGCUCGGUUGUAAGAGAAGAACGUGUGUGAGAGUGGAAAGUUCACACAGUGACGGUAACUUACCAGAAAGGGACGGCUAACUACGUGCCAGCAGCCGCGGUAAUACGUAGGUCCCGAGCGUUGUCCGGAUUUAUUGGGCGUAAAGCGAGCGCAGGCGGUUUCAUAAGUCUGAAGUUAAAGGCAGUGGCUUAACCAUUGUUCGCUUUGGAAACUGUUAAACUUGAGUGCAGAAGGGGAGAGUGGAAUUCCAUGUGUAGCGGUGAAAUGCGUAGAUAUAUGGAGGAACACCGGUGGCGAAAGCGGCUCUCUGGUCUGUAACUGACGCUGAGGCUCGAAAGCGUGGGGAGCAAACAGG